This is a non-coding RNA of Myodes glareolus (Bank vole), 1749 nucleotides long. Lineage: Eukaryota; Metazoa; Chordata; Mammalia; Rodentia; Cricetidae. The record is from RefSeq and is a predicted model, not a curated record.
GCCCGCCGCUCCCGCCCACAGCGAUCUAAGCCCCGCGCUGGGUCGGCAGACGGGUGCGGGGAGCCUCAUGCCGCGGCUCGGGGUCGCUGCGGGGGCUGGGGUGGCGUUUGGCCACUCUCGGCCCCCGUAUCCGAAGGAAGCGGAGUCCGUUGGCAUGGUCGUUACUGGUUUAUCUUGUUCCUGGAAAGUUCCAGGGGUUCCCUCACGCAGUUUUGACAGUGGGAAUUCGAAGUAGGUGGGAGAAAAGAGCCACGAGGGUUGAGCAAGACUCAAGUCAUCUGGGAGAAAUGGCAUUUACCAUGAACUGAAGGAAGCCCAUCCAUGUUCAAGACAAACAUAUAAGCCAGAUACAGUGCCAUGCUGGAAUCCUAUCUACAGAGGAAGCUGAAGCCACAGAAUUCCGCCAAUAUAGAAGAUAUGGAUUCAACUUAGCAAGGAACUUGUAUGAAGAGCAGCCUACUGCUGUAUAGUUUUGGGAACAACCAUGCUCUGGGAAAGCUAACAAGGCAGCAGCCGAGUGGAGCUCAGCGGGCACAGCACAGCCCCAAGUUCAGUCCCCAGUACUACAAACCAGGAACCACUUCUGUCCCUUCCUUUUUGUCCAACUCUCAGAUCAAAGUUCACCUUGGUACACAAUGACAAUAGAUCCAUCUCUAUUAUUUCCUUCUAGUUUUCAGAGUCUAUUAUAUUCUAUUUCACAUAUAUCCCUGCAGAUGUAUGUGUGCCUUUGUGUAAAGUAUAUAAAAAAUUCAUUAAAUUAGAAAUAAAGGUCUAACAGUACUCCCCCAACACAAACUGGGUAGCUGUAGACUAGAACAGUUUUUUAAAGUGGUAUCACAUGUGUGUAAACACACACACACACACACACACACACACAGAACAAUGGUGUAAGACUUCCAAAUGUGCAAUGAUCAAAUAUCAAAUACAUAAUAGUUUAGACGUGUUUCUGUUCAUAGUCACAUAUUACAUCACUGCAGCCUUGAUUCAAAACAUACAUGUACACUGUAUGACAUCAUGCCUGCUACACCAUCAAAAGGUGUCUCAAACAGCUGUUUAGAUUGGUACCAUUGUAUGAGCUAAUGUUUUCUGAUCUUACAGAAAACGUGAUUAAUUAUAGAAAACAGAAUUUCAGUGUUUCCCUACAGUUAACUCCUCAGCAUGUAAUUAAACUAGUUAGUUACCCUUUGGACUGUACUGUAAUUUGUUGACUUGAGUUUCAUAUAAAAAAACAUUAAAUGAAUUUUGGCUUGGAAUUACAACAGAAUUUCCAAUGAUUUCUGAUAUAAUUCAAAAUAUACUUCUGUCACUUUGAACUAUAUAAAAGUGAUGUUCUCAGUAUUGAUGGCUACGAAAUCAAACCAACUCUGAAAAAUGUUGGAGAUGCUCUGUCCUGCAGUGUAAUAUAUUCAGCCAAGAUUUGAUUCUUUAUGUGAAAAUAAGUGAGCACAUCUAUCUCAUUAGCAUGCAGAUGUGCUUUAAUCUUCAAUCAAUGUUCAAUUUAUAUCUGUACACCAAAAAAUGCCUUAAGAUCUUUGAUUUAUUAUUAGUAAAUGUUUGAGUGGUAUACUUAUUUAUAUGCUUGAGGCUGCAUGAAGAUUUCUCAGACAAAAAGGGGUUACAAAGGAAAAAAGUUUAACCUGUGCUGGUGAAAUGUGAAGAGAUGGUGGCCAGGGUUGUCCCCCACAACUGGCCUGUUUCCCAGCAGAGGCAGCUAAGCUGCACUGUGACUAAAGGACAGCUACCUGGAAG